RNAcentral lists this ribosomal RNA (260 nucleotides) under uncultured bacterium. RNAcentral's name for it is "partial 16S ribosomal RNA". It matches the Rfam family "Bacterial small subunit ribosomal RNA", at positions 268 to 525 of the family's 1533-position model. The record is from RNAcentral.
CCAAGGCAACGAUAGGUAGGGGGCCUGAGAGGGUGAUCCCCCACACUGGUACUGAGACACGGACCAGACUCCUACGGGAGGCAGCAGUGAGGAAUAUUGGUCAAUGGACGAAAGUCUGAACCAGCCAUGCCGCGUGCAGGAAGACUGCCCUACGGGUUGUAAACUGCUUUUAUAUAGGAAUAAACCCUCGUUCGUGAACGAGGCUGAAGGUACUAUAAGAAUAAGGACCGGCUAACUCCGUGCCAGCAGCCGCGGUAAUA